This is a non-coding RNA of Oryza glumipatula, 207 nucleotides long. The record is from Rfam. Lineage: Eukaryota; Viridiplantae; Streptophyta; Magnoliopsida; Poales; Poaceae.
AAAAAGAUAAACCCUGGGUUUUCGUGUCUAACAUUUGAUUGUCCGUCUUAUAUGAAAAUUUUUUAUAAUUAGUAUUUUCAUUGUUGUUAGAUGAUAAAACAUGAUUAAUACUUUAUGCGUGACUUUUCAUUUUAAUUUUUUUAAUAAUUUUUUUAAAUAAGACAGACGGUCAAACGUUGGACACGGAAACUCAGGGUUUGUCUCUUU